Molecule: non-coding RNA, 87 nt
Organism: Nemania sp. FL0031
Lineage: Eukaryota; Fungi; Ascomycota; Sordariomycetes; Xylariales; Xylariaceae
Source: the annotation of a GenBank genome assembly
GGCGUUUGGUGUAGUGGUAUCACGCCGCUAUCGGUAACACGAGGUGUGAAGUAGCGGAGUGCCUUGGUUCGAAUCCGAGGAGCGCCC